RNAcentral lists this ribosomal RNA (497 nucleotides) under uncultured bacterium. Its description in RNAcentral is "partial 16S ribosomal RNA". It matches the Rfam family "Bacterial small subunit ribosomal RNA", at positions 28 to 507 of the family's 1533-position model. The record is from RNAcentral.
GAUGAACGCUGGCGGCGUGCCUAAUACAUGCAAGUCGAGCGAACAGACGAGGAGCUUGCUCCUCUGACGUUAGCGGCGGACGGGUGAGUAACACGUGGAUAACCUACCUAUAAGACUGGGAUAACUACGGGAAACCGGAGCUAAUACCGGAUAAUAUAUUGAACCGCAUGGUUCAAUAGUGAAAGACGGUUUUGCUGUCACUUAUAGAUGGAUCCGCGCCGCAUUAGCUAGUUGGUAAGGUAACGGCUUACCAAGGCAACGAUGCGUAGCCGACCUGAGAGGGUGAUCGGCCACACUGGAACUGAGACGCGGUCCAGACUCCUACGGGAGGCAGCAGUAGGGAAUCUUCCGCAAUGGGCGAAAGCCUGACGGAGCAACGCCGCGUGAGUGAUGAAGGUCUUCGGAUCGUAAAACUCUGUUAUUAGGGAAGAACAAAUGUGUAAGUAACUAUGCACGUCUUGACGGUACCUAAUCAGAAAGCCACGGCUAACUACGUG